This 726-nucleotide long non-coding RNA is filed under the name Homo sapiens (human). RNAcentral describes it as "HSALNT0331891". Lineage: Eukaryota; Metazoa; Chordata; Mammalia; Primates; Hominidae. The record is from RNAcentral.
GACAACUCGCGGGGAUUGUUUUCCACACCGUGGAAGCUUUGUUCUUUUCGUUUUUUGCAAUAAAUCUUGUUGCUGCUCGCUUUUUGGGUCCACAUUGCUUUUAUGAGCUGUACCACUCACCGUGAAGAUCUGCAGCUUCACUUCAGAGCCUAGCGAGACCACAAGCUCACUGAGAGGAACAAACAACUCCAGACGCGCUGUCUUAAGAGCUAUAACACUCACCGCGAAGGUGUGCAGUUUCACUCCUGAGCUAGUGAGACUACGAAGCCACUGGAACGAAGAAACUCCAACCACGUUUGAACAUCAGAAGGGGCAGACUCCAGACGCUUCAUCUUAAGAGCUGUAACACUCACUGUGAAGGUCUGCAGCUUCACUCCUGAGCCAGCGAGACCACGAACCGAUCUGAACAUCAGAAGGGACAGACUCCAGAUGCCCCACCUUAAGAGCUGUAAUACUCACUGCAAGGGUCUGCAGCUUCAUUCUUGAAGUCAGACCAAGAACCCAGCAAUUCCCAACACACAGGGACCAGCUUCUUUCCUAACUCACUUAGGCUCUUCGUGCUGCUCUGGCAACUAACACCCUUGGCUGCAGGGGCUUGGACACUACCCUUAGUCACUGACAAUUGUGUGAAGGCUGCUGUCGUUAACUUCACUUGAUCACCUUAGGCUCCUGUGAAGUGGUGAGCAAUUCAAACAAAUUCCUGUCGUCAAAUCAUCAUUAAGAAGA